GUUGGGCACUCUAAGUUGACUGCCGGUGACAAACCGGAGGAAGGUGGGGAUGACGUCAAAUCAUCAUGCCCCUUAUGAUUUGGGCUACACACGUGCUACAAUGGACAAUACAAAGGGUAGCGAAACCGCGAGGUCAAGCAAAUCCCAUAAAGUUGUUCUCAGUUCGGAUUGUAGUCUGCAACUCGACUACAUGAAGCUGGAAUCGCUAGUAAUCGUAGAUCAGCAUGCUACGGUGAAUACGUUCCCGGGUCUUGUACACACCGCCCGUCACACCACGAGAGUUUGUAACACCCGAAGCCGGUGGAGUAACCUUUUGGAGCUAGCCGUCGAAGGUGGGACAAAUGAUUGGGGUGAAGUCGUAACAAGGUAGCCGUAUCGGAAGGUGCGGCUGGAUCACCUCCUUU
This 404-nucleotide ribosomal RNA is filed under the name Staphylococcus capitis. Its description in RNAcentral is "bacterial SSU rRNA". It matches the Rfam family "Bacterial small subunit ribosomal RNA", at positions 1130 to 1533 of the family's 1533-position model. Lineage: Bacteria; Bacillati; Bacillota; Bacilli; Caryophanales; Staphylococcaceae. The record is from RNAcentral.